Molecule: non-coding RNA, 2687 nt
Organism: Durio zibethinus
Lineage: Eukaryota; Viridiplantae; Streptophyta; Magnoliopsida; Malvales; Malvaceae
Source: RefSeq, a predicted model, not a curated record
AAUUGAUUGGGGAUUGCAUAGACUUACUUCUCUUAAAUUUCUCUGGAUAGAAAAUGGGUGUCCCGAUGCAGUGUUGUUUCCACAAGAAGAGAUAGGAAUGACGCUACCCUGCUCUCUCACCUCUCUCGGCAUCAUCAAUUUCCCAAAACUAGAAACCCUAUCCUCCAAGGGCUUUCAGGACCUCACCUCUCUGGAGUUCUUGUCUAUCGAUUCUUGCCCAAACCUCAAGUCUCUUCCGGAAAAGAAGAUGCUUUCUUCGCUUUUGCGGCUACUUAUUUUGAGAUGUCCAGUGCUAAAAGAACGGUGUGGAAAGGAUAAAGGACCAGAGUGGUCCAAGAUAGACCAUAUACCUUAUGUGGAAAUUGAUGACAGAUGCAUCUAUCAUUCCAGCUAAUUCUGUUUCAGAGGAUAAUGGUUCAGACAAUAAUUCUUCAGGGCAGCAAAGUUGACAAGAAAGUUAACGACUCAAAGUCGCAAGAUAUGAUAUUAACUACGACCUUAUCUACAAAAUGCUUGUUAUCUGCUGAGGGUAAAGAUUGAAGUUUCAGAAAAGGAUUUUCUUUGGUUUUUUGGGACCUACCAACUAUGGAUGUCUGGAAGGUUGAAUGAUCCGUGAGACCAUAGCUGCAGUUGUGAAAAUAACAUUGGUUGCAUCUGGAAACUCAUCUUCUUUAAUCAAUAGUUCCGAACUAGUAUAACUAAAGGUUCUUUCAUUUUAUUGAAAAGAAUCAGAAAAUCCAGAGUUCCUGAGCUCAACUGUGAAAUAACGGCCUAUCAUCUAUGAAUACAUGGAUAAAGGAUUCAUCUAUUACUUGAAGGUGGAAAAAAAACAACCAUUUCAUCUCGCCGAGAAGAAAAUGGCACAAGUAAAGAGUAUACCUUCUUCCAUAUUUGUAAUGAAACCUAAAGACGACAAAUGGAAAGCUGUUUAAUCUCUGAAAAGUAAAGGGAAGAAUGAAUGACUACAAUUUUACAUUAUCCUUUGCUUAUACUCAAGGGUAUGCGGGGAGUCUGUACCACCUGUCACAUGGAUCUUUAUCUGGUGUCUGUCUUUCCUGUCAAUUUGAUUUUCAUCCUUUUUGUAGUAUGAAAUGACAUUAAUUAGAACCUGCAUCCCAACUUUGAGUUAGGAAAAAGGAAACUGAUAAUUUUCUGUUUACAGGCAUUCAUUGAAGUUGCAGAAUGUGCGAGACAGUGUAGAUGGUAAGAAGCUAGUUUUAUUUAAUGUUCAGCUGUUUACAUGUUUAUAGCUUCUUUUUGUACUUCAAUUUCAGUAAUUUCAAACCAAUUGGAGCUCAAUGAAGGUCUGCAAGCUAGUUCCAUACUGAAACAUGGUGUGAAAAUGGAUAAUAGGAGGAAGAGAUAUUAAUUACCAACAGAAAUAAUACUUUUUCUGAUAUAAAAUCAAAAAUUUUGCUAAUUCUGAAACCUUUGAUAAAGUCUUUUAUUCCUAAAUUACUUCUUAUUUGCAUGUUAAAUUACAAAACUUUAUUAUUAAUUGCUUUAAUUGAUAGAUAUUUUAAAAACUGUUUUAUGUUUUGAUAUCAUUUGAUUAUUUCUCAAAGAAAGAGUAUUUGUUCUUGUUGCAUGUUGUUUAACCUAUAGAUUACAAUUUCUAAGAAAUUGAUGUGAAACCUUUAAUUUUUUUUCUAUUUUUUUUUUAUAAGAUUUUAAUAAAACUUGAACCAGGGAACUUAAAGAAGAUAAAAAAUGGUAAGUGGCAGUGCGGCACAGAUACUGUUUCUUACCAGAACAGGCAAUGCAGGACAUAUGUUGUUUCUUUCCAGACCAACUGUACAGAUGCAUUGAGCUUAUGCUUUAUGGAGAAGCUUCCCUGCCUGUGCCUCAAUGUCUGAGAAAUGUAGAUACUAUACCAGCAGUGACGUUGAACCUAGGCAUCAGUAUGUGACACCAUUGAUGCAAUGACUAAAAGAAACUCCUAAGCUUGUUCUCUUCUUUUCCACUAAACCAUCUUAACUGGUUGAGUUUUUCUUUGUAGUCAAUCCAUGCCAUUGUUUUAAGCCGUCGGUAAAAGUGGGUACUAUUUUGUUUGGAGACAUGAUGUAUCCUGGUUACAAGCAUGUUAAACCACUUAAAAGUGUGCAAGGUUUACAAAUUACAAUCUGUGUACAUUGUGAUUACUGUAGCAGGCUAACGCAAGUCGGAGAUCAGAACUCUUGGAUCUCCAUGUGGAUUUGGCUUUCUGGCCUAUAAAAGGACUAAAAGGGUUUACGAAGAGUUCAAAUUACAGAAGCUGUUGUUCUACUAAAGCAAAUGAAGUUUAGAAAUGCAAAUAGAAACAAUUUGCAACAAUCACCAAAUCUAGGUAGGUAGAAGGACAAUGCUACUCUGAUUCCUCUGCCGCCACUACCAUUCACCAAGCCUUGUGCAGCUUGAUCGGCUAAUAUCAACUUCUUUGCCUUGAUCAGAACUGAACUGAUAAAUGAUGAGAGCUAACAAUGAUACUAAUAUCAGUGGCAAUGUCAUAUUGAAUUUUCAAUUUCCUUUUUACUGUUUCAUGUGCUUGGAAAAUAUUUUUAUUUGCUUCGACUUGAUAUUUUAUGAGAUUAUUUUUUAACUUUUCAUGAGAUUGUGUCUGUGUGCUAGGUGAUGAUUAUGAUUCAACUUAAAACAGAUCUACAUAUAUAGAUAAUGUUCAUAGAUACUCAAAAUUCUUUAAAACACUC